AUUGAACGCUGGCGGCAGGCUUAACACAUGCAAGUCGAGCGGGGAAGGGUAGCUUGCUACCUGACCUAGCGGCGGACGGGUGAGUAAUGCUUAGGAAUCUGCCUAUUAGUGGGGGACAACAUUCCGAAAGGAAUGCUAAUACCGCAUACGCCCUACGGGGGAAAGCAGGGGAUCUUCGGACCUUGCGCUAACAGAUGAGCCUAAGUCAGAUUAGCUAGUUGGUGGGGUAAAGGCCUACCAAGGCGACGAUCUGUAGCGGGUCUGAGAGGAUGAUCCGCCAAACUGGGACUGAGACACGGCCCAGACUCCUACGGGAGGCAGCAGUGGGGAAUAUUGGACAAUGGGCGAAAGCCUGAUCCAGCCAUGCCGCGUGUGUGAAGAAGGCCUUUUGGUUGUAAAGCACUUUAAGCGAGGAGGAGGCUACCGAGAUUAAUACUCUUGGAUAGUGGACGUUACUCGCAGAAUAAGCACCGGCUAACUCUGUGCCAGCAGCCGCUGUAA
RNAcentral lists this ribosomal RNA (501 nucleotides) under uncultured bacterium. Its description in RNAcentral is "partial 16S ribosomal RNA". It matches the Rfam family "Bacterial small subunit ribosomal RNA", at positions 30 to 523 of the family's 1533-position model. The record is from RNAcentral.